RNAcentral lists this long non-coding RNA (5420 nucleotides) under Malus domestica (apple). RNAcentral's name for it is "long non-coding RNA (MDOM_LNC001392)". Lineage: Eukaryota; Viridiplantae; Streptophyta; Magnoliopsida; Rosales; Rosaceae. The record is from RNAcentral.
UCACACUCACAUUGACAUUGUUAAAAAAGAAAAAAAACAAGAUUUAACAAUUUUAAACAGAAACAGGCAAAGCAAAAGUUGAGGGAACGGCGUUGUAACCUGAUAUAACUCGUCACUCUGCAGCAGUCCCUUGUUCACCGGAUUCCCGUCCUUUUUAACGCUGUGCUCCAUUUGCAAAGAGAAAGCAACUAGUCCAAGCAAUUCUACAAAUCCAACAGUUACGGACAGAUUAAUCGAAACUCGAUGGACAUGUUUGUACAAUGGCAGAGAGAGCAACCCUGCAAAACUAAACUUCAAUGGCACCAAAAAUCCCAAAGUUUUGAACUUUUGAGUAACAAAUUCCCACCUUUUGAUCAUUUUAAAUAAAGAAAACUAAUUAUAGACAAAAUAAAGGGUAAAGUGAAUAGUACCAAGAUUAACUUUUUAGUGUAAAAAUGUGGUUUUUCGUUAAAGUAAACAGUACCGUGCUUUUCGUUAAAGUUCCUUUAAAUAAUCAACGAAGGCAGUCUAUAAGGAUCUUAAAAUUCCAACAUAAAACAAUUUUCUAUGAAGAUAUAAACUCAUCAACUCCUAUAAAUUUCACAAACUGAUAAAAGCCAUAGUAGGGAAAGGGGAAUUGAACCCGGGACCUCGAAAUAAUGGUUUUAACCUACGGAACUACAAGAACAUUGACUCGCACCAACUUUGAUCAAGCUAAAUAACCCAAAACCCCAUUUCUCGGCUACUCAUCAAUCUCAAACUUCCCACGAUUCCGAUUACAUUUCUUAGGCCACAAGGUUUCUGGGUUUUUUUCCCCUUCAUUUCUUCCUCAAUUCUAAAUCUUUGCAAUCUGUUCAUAAAAACAAUUCAGCACAAAACAUUGCAGCCUCAACUUUUUUUUAACAGAGAAUUACUGUGAAGAAAGAAAGAGAAGUACCCGAUCCCGAUGAUUACAAGUGAAGGUAGAGUCUUCCGUCGUUGGAGCGAUGGUGAACCGAAUCGACACUUCUCUGCCCACAACAAAUCAUAAAUAAAUAUGCUUUGAUGAGUUGAGAAUUUCUCGUGACUAUUGUUGCUGGACUUGUUUAUUUGCUGCCCCUUUGAACUUUUCAAACUCUUUAUUUUGAAUGUAAGUUCGUUAGUCAAAAGAAUUUUCACAUUAUAAUAAUUUCAUGAAUUAAUACUCAUAUUUUUAGUUCAGCAACCAAAGCAUCAAUUGGAUCAAAAUUCAAAGAUCAUUGCUUCAAUUUUUUUAAUUAUGAAAUGGCGAAUAACUUCAAAAUGAGAGAUUUUUUAGUAUGCUAGAAAUACGGUAUGGGUACAUCAAGUGUAACAAUACAAUUAGUUGAAAAUUUGAUAAAAAAGUCAACCAAUUAUAUUAUGACACUACUUGUAGUGACCGUGUUUUCGGCACGUUAAAAACUAUGGAACUUUAACGAAAAGCAUCCGAUAUUGUUUAUUUUAACGAAAAAUCAUAUUUUUACACUAAAAAGUUAAUUCUGAUACUAUUCAUUUUACCCUUUAUUUUAUCCUUAUCAUUAAAAUUAAAAAUUAAUCUCCUUAAAAACUAAAUAAAAAAAGACAGAGCCAAUACAAAUCUACCGACACAAAAAAUAAAAAAAGACAAGUCGAAUCACAAUAAAACCAAGCACCAUCAAAGCAAAAGCAAACUCAACAGUAAAAGCGGGCUCUUUACUCAUUAUUUCACAUAUGGUUUGGUCCAAGUAGCAAUAAUACAACCUCAAUUAUUUCGCAUAUAGUUUGAUCCUAAGUAGCAAUAGUACAACCUCAAUUAUUUCGAUCAUUUCACAUCGUUGAUUCUCAUUCAUGACUUAUCUCGAUAAUUUUGUAAAUCUAUUCUAUUAAAAAAGAUGCCUUGUCAACUUUUUAUCUUUUUUUUUCUUAUUUUUCCUUCACUUCUUCACUUUUAUACAUAAAGUUGACAUGAGGAGGGUAAAAUAGUAAUUUUAUAUCUUUUGAGAAAAUGAUAAUCAUAUCCUUAUUUUUACUAUUUUACCUUUUUUUUUUUUUUUGUAGAAAAUGACAAUCAUAUUCAUAUUUUACCCUCACUUUUGAUACACAAUAUUUACAUAAGAGGACGAAAUAAAAUGAAAUUAUUCACACACACAAAGUGAGAAAACGACAAUCAUAUUUCUAUUUUUCCUAUUUUACCCUAACUUUUGAUACAUAAUAUUUACAUAAGGAGGACAAAACAUUAAUUAUGUAAUAUUAAAAAAAAUACACUUAUUAAGAGAAAUUGUUUAUCUACACAAAGUGUAUGUUCUCUGAUAGUAGUAAUUAUAGAUGUAACUCAAGUUAUGGAUAAUACUUGUUCGUCAAGCAUUUUAUUUAACUUGAUCAGCAAACGCCAUAUUGUGAUCCCGUCACCCAUCGUAACCUUGAAAAUUUCGACGCGAGUGUCAGCGGAAACCAAUUCGUUUAACUCAAUUGCACACUGCCGCCACUCCCUUUUGGCCUCCGGAACAUCCUCUUCCAGCCAAGCAACUGUUCCUCCCCAGAGUGUGUUAUCGUACAUUACCAUCCCGCCAACCUUAAUCCGUUUGAUUAGCCUCUCUUGGUAAUUCUAGUAGUUGUUCUUGUCCGCGUCAACGAAAGCAAAGUCGAAACUCCCUUCCUUCUCUGGCUGCAGAAAAAUAUGCACGAAGAACUACCAAUCUUCAAAUACAAGAAACUGAAAAGGUAAGAGUCAGAAACAAAGUUUAGGGAAGUGAUUUCCACACGUAUCUUUUCUCCGCCUGCUGCACACUCCUGUUACACGGAAGGAGAAAAUGAAUGUGCGGUUAUCACUUUCUAAAGUCUUAAGAGUACAGAGUUUCUCAGCUUACGUCUUGUAACAGUUUAUCAAGAAUUGGCAGAGCUGGGGACUCAAUGAAGUCGAUUUUGUUUUCGACGCCAGCUUUUUUGAUACUUGGCAACCCCAUUUCGUAUGCUUUUCGGUCGAUGUCUACGGCCGUAAUCUGCAAGGCAUAAUGUUUGUUGUAGGUAAACAUAUAUCAGCUGAAUUGGAGAGAGGUAUGUCAUCAGGAGUUGGGAGAGCCGUGAGGAGAAGAGAGUAGCCGGUAAAAAUUCCGAUUUCAAUUGCCGUUUUCGGAUUCACCAGCUUCAAGAGAAGGGCCAUGAACUGACCUGAAUCAGUGAAGUGCUCAUGAAAGCCCUGCACAGUAAAACUGUUAAACCCUAUAUUGAUCUGGGUGAAGCAUAAGAAGGUUCCACAGAAGACUUGCUAACAUUUUGUAAUUGAAGAAACUACCACAAGACAUGCUAACAAGUUGGCUUUCUAACCAAAAUGGCUUAUUUCAAAUAGUUCAGGUUAAUUUACCAAAAAAUAGUUUAAAAGGUCAAUUUCAACUUGAGUAAUAGUUCAAAAUGUCAAACAGCAGUUUAUCCUUAUAAAUAUAAAAACACUCAUCAAGUUUAUUAAUUCAAUUUUGCAAUUCCAUUCACUGCAUAGUCUAUCAAAUAGAAAGGGAGCAUUAGUUGGGAACUGGAUCCCCUUCGGAUCCAUAUAUACUGAGCCUGCUGAGCAGGCGAUCCGGAUCGUUGAAAUUUGAUUAAACGGCUAAAAUUAUUAUCACUUUUAGAGGGUCCUCUGUUUGUAACUGUUAGAUCAAAUUUCAACGGCCCGGAUCGCCUGCUCAGUAGGCUCAGUUUUAUUGGAUCCGAAGGGAAUCCGAUUCCUAGAAUUUCAUCAUCGCAUUCUGUGAGGGAGUUUCCUGCAUAAUUUGGAUAGGGAAAUUUAGAAAAAUAACUAAAAUUUAUGCCUCAUAUAGAAUUAUAGUCAUCCUUUCAAAUUUUUGAUAAUUAUAACAAAAAAAUUGAUAUAAAAGUACUAAUAUACCCCCGCUAACAAAAAACUUCACUUUUUUUCUUUUUAGUACAUCGAUAUAUUUGUUCUCCAUUUAUUCUUAACCGUGAAAAAAAUUAAGUGCAUAAUCUUGUUUAUUAACAACACUUAGACAAAGCAGAGAUCACUCAACAAUAAAUUAUUUCAUUGAAACUAUUUUGAGUUCUUAAAACAUAAAUAUCAAAUCUCCAAUUGUCAAGGGAGAUUGCCAAGUCCCCGAGCUUUAGACAUGUAAGGCUACAUCUUUCAAGAAAGAAUCAGUAAAGUCGACGACAAAUUGUGAUCCCAUCACCCAAAGAAGCAUGUGAAAUCUGGACACGAGGAUCGGCUGCAAGUAACUUGUUAAGCUCGAUUGUCGCCUGUUUGCCUGGUUUCCUGAACUCCGGAAUCAACUCAUCAGGCAUUACAACCGUUCCUCCCCAGAGGGUGUUAUCAUAGACAACUAUACCACCCACCUUCAACAGCUUCAUUAACCUCUCAUGGUAGUUCCAGUAGUUGACCUUGUCGGCAUCGAUGAAAGCAAAGUCGAAACUUCCUUCGUUUUCAUGCUGCAAACAAAACCACGAGAAAGCGAAAAAUGUCACAACUAUGGUUUUUCUUAUUUCGGCUGAAGAUUAUGGUUUGAAACGUAAAAUACUUGCAUUUUCUAGUAGCUUAUCAAGAACCGGUAGGGCCUGGGAUUCAAUGAAGUCGAUUUUGUGCUCAACACCGGCUUUCUUUAUGAUUGGAAGCCCUAUUUGCUCAUACGUCUCACGAUUCACAUCUAUGGCUACAAUCUGCAGUACAACAAAUUAUGAGCUCAACGCGACCGGAAGAGCAGAUUCAGAUAUUAGUAGUGACAGACCUUGCCAUCGUCAGGAAUUGUAAGAGCAGUGAGGAGGAGAGAGUAUCCGGUGAAAACGCCAACUUCAAUAGUUUUCUUUGCAUCUACUAGCUUCAACAGCAUGGCCAUUAACUGACCUGCAUCUGGUGCAGUAGCCAUCUCAGCCCUGAAAACAAACUAGCUAAUUAAAAACCCUCCUCGACAGUUUGAUCAAGAAAUGCUCGACAGUUUUCGCUCGCUUAGACGAAGUGUAUGCCAAGUUCUAGCCUGGCUUGGUAGCUUAAUGAACUUAAAAAGCAGGCAAUCUUAAAACAAGUUCUGCUAAGAUAUGUAGGAUCAUAACCUCGGGUGGCUGGCGGUGGCAGCUCUAAGCUCCUUGAGAGGCUCCGGUUCAUGUGGAUACACACUAGUCUCCAAGAUAUACUGUCACAUCGACAUUGUUAAAAAACAAGAUUUAACAAAUUUAAUCAGAAACAGGCAAAGCGAAAGUUGAGGGAACGGCGUUGUAACCUGAUAUAACUCGUCACUCUGCAGCAGUCCCUUCUUCUCUAGAUUCAGGUCCUUUUUGGCGCUGUGCUCCAUUUGCAAAGAGAAAGCAACUAGUCCAAGCAAUUCUACAAAUCCAACAGUUACGGACAGAUUAAUCGAAACUCGAUGGACAUGUUGUACAAUGGCAGAGAGGGUACCACUGCAAAACUGAACUUCAAUGGCACCAAAAAUCCCCAAGUUCUGAACUUUUGAGUAACAAAUUCC